Pyrgilauda ruficollis (rufous-necked snowfinch) is the source of this 3161-nucleotide RNA transcript. It is a transcript of the gene named nuclear receptor subfamily 4 group A member 2-like, with no coding region annotated. The record is from RefSeq and is a predicted model, not a curated record. The transcript has 6 exons. Lineage: Eukaryota; Metazoa; Chordata; Aves; Passeriformes; Passeridae.
GCCCCGGCGGGGCAGGGGGCUCCCGGCGCUCGGCCCCGGCGGCGGGCGCGGGGCGCGGGCCGAGUCUACCUGCCGCUGUUUCGUUUGCAGCCAUGCCCUGUGUUCAGGCUCAGUAUGGGUCCUCGCCUCAAGGAGCCAGCCCGGCCUCCCAGAGCUACAGCUACCACUCCUCGGGAGAAUACAGCUCCGAUUUCCUAACUCCGGAGUUUGUCAAGUUUAGCAUGGACCUCACCAACACCGAAAUCACCGCCACCACUUCUCUCCCCAGCUUCAGUACCUUUAUGGACAACUACAACACGAGCUACGACGUGAAGCCCCCCUGCUUGUACCAAAUGCCCCUGUCCGGACAGCAGUCCUCCAUUAAGGUGGAAGACAUUCAGAUGCACGGCUACCAGCAGCACGGCCACCUGCCCCCCCAGUCCGAGGAGAUGAUGUCCCACUCGGGCUCCGUCUACUACAAGCCCUCGUCGCCCCCGACCCCCUCCACGCCCGGCUUCCAGGUGCAGCACGGCCCCGUGUGGGACGACCCCGGCUCCCUGGGGGGCGGCGGGGGAGCCCGCGGGGCCGGCAGCCCGCAGAUGGAAAUGGGUUAGGACAGAGAACUGCGUCUGAGCUAACCAUGUGGAACAGAAUUCCCUGUGGUAAAAUUAAGUGAUCUCUUUAUUUCACCAUCCUGAUUGAAUAAUCUUAUCAUUUUAAAUAGAGGAGGUCUCCAAGGAAUGUAAAUAAUAUGAAUGCCCACGGAUUUGUAUUUACCGAGCGUCUCUUUCCCUCCUCUUGGCAUAUAAAACACGGCUAGGAGCUGCGAGGUUAGCUUGGAUGUUAACCGAAGGAAACAAAGCGAAAAAACGGAAAGGAAAAUAAAGGGGGGGAAAGGCAACAGCAGACCAAGGGGAAGGCGGCAGGGGCAGGGGCGGCAGGGGCGCUCCCCGGGCGGGCGCUGACCCGCUGCCGCCCCCGGCCCGCAGCGCACGGUGCAGAAGAACGCCAAGUACGUGUGUCUGGCCAACAAGAACUGCCCCGUGGACAAGCGCCGCCGCAACCGCUGCCAGUACUGCCGCUUCCAGAAGUGCCUGGCCGUCGGCAUGGUCAAGGAGGUGGUGCGCACAGACAGCCUAAAAGGCCGGCGGGGCCGCUUGCCGUCCAAACCGAAGAGCCCCCAGGAGCCUUCUCCCCCCUCUCCCCCGGUGAGUCUGAUCAGUGCGCUGGUGAGAGCCCAUGUCGACUCCAACCCGGCUAUGACCAGCCUGGACUAUUCCCGGUUCCAGGCUAACCCCGACUACCAGCUGAGCGGUGACGACACCCAGCACAUCCAGCAGUUCUACGAUCUCCUGACCGGCUCCAUGGAGAUCAUCCGAGGGUGGGCGGAAAAAAUCCCCGGCUUCACCGACCUCCCCAAAACGGACCAGGACCUGCUCUUCGAGUCCGCCUUCCUGGAGCUGUUCGUGCUGCGGCUGGCGUACAGGUCCAACCCCGUGGAGGGGAAGCUGAUCUUCUGCAACGGGGUGGUCCUGCACCGGUUGCAGUGCAUCCGUGGCUUUGGGGAGUGGAUCGAUUCCAUCGUGGAAUUCUCCUCCAACUUGCAGAACAUGAACAUCGACAUCUCUGCCUUCUCCUGCAUCGCUGCCCUGGCCAUGGUGACAGAGAGGCACGGGCUUAAGGAACCCAAGAGGGUGGAAGAGCUUCAGAACAAGAUUGUAAAUUGUCUCAAAGACCACGUGACUUUCAAUAACGGGGGGCUGAAUCGCCCCAACUAUUUGUCCAAACUCUUGGGGAAGCUCCCCGAACUCCGCACGCUUUGCACACAGGGGCUGCAGCGCAUUUUCUACCUGAAACUGGAGGAUUUGGUGCCACCGCCAGCAAUAAUUGACAAACUUUUCCUGGACACUUUACCUUUCUAAGACUCUUCCCGCACGCUUCCGCUGACCCGAGGAGAAGCUCCACCUGCCUGAAGGGGAGCUGGUCUGGGCCCAGAGCAGCACCCCUGGGUGCCAGCUCCCACCCAGCCAGAGUUGCAACUCCUGCAGGCAGAACGCGAUGGGCAUUUUGGCUCUGGGGCAUCAUGGAUGCAGCUCACGGACCACACAAAUACCAUGGUAUAAACUUUUUAUUAUCGGCUUCUAAAUGAGUUUAUUAUUGAGGACUUUGGUGCGAAAGGCAAGCGGUGACAGACCAAGCGUUGAGGCGGCCCACGAGCCUCACCCUCCUAAAGACUAAAGUUUUCUGCAGCAAAAGAAAGCUGUAACACACCCAAACCCCAAACGUGGCGUGGGUGGCGUGGCAUUAAUGAAGGCGAAGGCUUGUAAAUUUAUCAGAUGUUUGGCUUUUUAAAAAAAAAAAAAUUCUUCUGUGCCUAUUUAUGAUGAAACAUGGAAAAUGAUUCUAAAAAAAAAAAGAAUCAAAAAUAAAAGCUAGAUGUGUUCGGGGAAAAAAAAAUUAAAAAGAGGAGAAUUAAAAAAAUAAAAAAAAGAGAAAACCCAAUCUGUCCAUACCAGGGAAGCAUGACGAUUCCAGGGUGACAAUGUUAUAGGCACUUGCUAUUUCAGUAAUGUCUAUAUUCUAUAAAUAGUAUUUCAGACACUAUGUAGUCUGGUAGCUUUUAUAAAGACUGGUAGUUAUCUAAGCUUCAAACAUUUUCUCAAUUGUAAAAUAGGUGGGCACAAGUGUUACCCCCGGAAUCCCCCCCAAAGGGACACAUAGUGUUUGUAAACACCGCCCGACACCCCUUGUUUGUAAGUGUUGUAUGUACUGUUGAUGUUGAUUAAAGAAGAAGUUUAUAUCUUGAUUAUUUUGUUGUCUAAAGCUAAACAGAUCUUGCAUGCAGCAGCUUUUGACUGUUUCCAGAGUGCUUAUACUAUACGUAACUCCCUGGAAAUUACUGAGCACUUUGAAUUCUUGGUUUGUUUUGUUCCAUUUGUUUUUUUAUGUCUAAAAAUUGUCGGUUAAUAUAUUAUUUUAUGUUCGAGUAAUAUUUUUAAUAUUGCCAUAUUCUGUAGUAUUUUUCUUUGUAUACCCCGGUUUGGCACACGGGAAAGUCGCUGCCUUUUUUUAAUAUGGUGUACGACAGUUAGAAACGCGGAUUAUUAUUAUUAUUAUAAUUAUUAUUAUUAUUAUUUUUUCUCCCGAGAACUCUUUCUUUGAGAAAGACAAUUUUAAUGUUU